RNAcentral lists this ribosomal RNA (279 nucleotides) under uncultured bacterium. Its description in RNAcentral is "partial 16S ribosomal RNA". It matches the Rfam family "Bacterial small subunit ribosomal RNA", at positions 506 to 784 of the family's 1533-position model. The record is from RNAcentral.
UGCCAGCCGCCGCGGUAAUACGAAGGGUGCAAGCGUUAAUCGGAAUUACUGGGCGUAAAGCGCGCGUAGGCGGCUUGGUCAGUUGGGUGUGAAAUCCCCGGGCUUAACCUGGGAACUGCACUCAAUACUGCCAGGCUAGAGUACGAGAGAGGGUGGUAGAAUUUCUAGUGUAGCGGUGAAAUGCGUAGAUAUUAGAAGGAAUACCAGUGGCGAAGGCGGCCACCUGGCUCGAUACUGACGCUGAGGUGCGAAAGCGUGGGGAGCAAACAGGAUUAGAUA